CCCUAUGGGGUGCAGCAGGGGCGAAACCUCUACAAUGCACGCAAGUGUGAUAGGGGAAUCCCAAGUGCUUAUGCAUUGCAUAGGCUUUUGCCAAGAGUAAACACCUUGGCGAAUAAGUGGUGGGAAAGACUGGUGCCAGCCGCCGCGGUAACACCAGCGCCACAAGUGGUGACCAGUAUUAUUGGGCCUAAAGCGUCCGUAGCUGGCCAAGUAAAUCUUCUGUGAAAUCGUUCGGCUUAACCGUACGACGUGCAGGGGACACUGCUUGGCUAGGGACCGGGAGGAGCCAGAAGUAUUCCAGGGGGAGCGGUUAAAUGUUAUAAUCCUUGAAAGACUACCUGCGGCGAAGGCGUCUGGCUAGAACGGGUCCGACAGUGAGGGACGAAAGCUAGGGGAGCGAACCGGAUUAGAUACCCGAGUAGUCCUAGCCGUAAACUCUGCAAGCUAGAUGUUGCGUAUUCUACGAGGAUGCGCAGUAUCGAAGUGAAGACGGUAAGCUUGCCGCCUGGGAAGUAUAGUCGCAAGGCCGAAACUUAAAGGAAUUGGCGGGGGAGCACCACAAGGGGUGCGGCGUGCGGUUUAAUCCAAUUCAACACGAAGCAUCUCACCAGGGGCGACGGCAGAAUGAAAGUCAGUCUGAAAGGCUUUCCUGACGAGACCAGAAGUGGUGCAUGGC
Molecule: ribosomal RNA, 676 nt
Filed under: uncultured archaeon
Lineage: Archaea
Description: bacterial SSU rRNA
Rfam family: Archaeal small subunit ribosomal RNA
Source: RNAcentral